This 141-nucleotide small nuclear RNA is filed under the name Sander lucioperca (pikeperch). RNAcentral's name for it is "U4 spliceosomal RNA (ENSSLUG00000012514.1)". It matches the Rfam family "U4 spliceosomal RNA". Rfam says of the family: U4 small nuclear RNA (U4 snRNA) is a component of the major U2-dependent spliceosome. The structure of U4 snRNA from yeast and human has been reported. U4 snRNA presents a k-turn RNA motif in the 5p-SL related to recognition of Snu13 protein. The record is from Rfam by way of RNAcentral. Lineage: Eukaryota; Metazoa; Chordata; Actinopteri; Perciformes; Percidae.
AUCCUUUCGCAGUGGCAGUAUCGUAGUCUAUGAGGUUUAUCCGAGGCGCGAUUAUUGCUAGUUGAAAACUUUACCCAAUACCCCGCCUAGACGACUUGAAAUAUAGUCGGCAACGGCAAUUUUUGACAGUCUCUAAGGAGG